UCAAAUUUGAAAUCUGGCCCUCGGGUCCGAGUUGUAAUUUGCAGAGGAUGCUUCGGGCGAGGUGCCUUCCGAGUUCCCUGGAACGGGACGCCACAGAGGGUGAGAGCCCCGUCUGGUUGGACACCGAGCCCGUGUGAAGCUCCUUCGAAGAGUCGAGUAGUUUGGGAAUGCUGCUCAAAAUGGGAGGUAUAUGUCUUCUAAAGCUAAAUAUUGGCCAGAGACCGAUAGCGCACAAGUAGAGUGAUCGAAAGAUGAAAAGCACUUUGAAAAGAGGGUUAAAAAGUACGUGAAAUUGUUGAAAGGGAAGCGCCCAUGACCAGACUUGGGCCCGGUGAAUCACCCGGCGUUCUCGCCGGUGCACUUUGCCGGGCACAGGCCAGCAUCAGUUUGGCGCGGGGGACAAAGGCUUCGGGAAUGUGGCUCCCUCGGGAGUGUUAUAGCCCGCUGCGCAAUACCCUGCGCCGGACUGAGGUACGCGCAUCGCAAGGAUGCUGGCGUAAUGGUCAUCAGCGACCCGUCUUGAAACACGGACCAAGGAGUCGUCUUCGUAUGCGAGUGUUCGGGUGUCAAACCCCUACGCGGAAUGAAAGUGAACGCAGGUGAGAGCUUCGGCGCAUCAUCGACCGAUCCUGAUGUUCUCGGAUGGAUUUGAGUAAGAGCAUACGGGGCCGGACCCGAAAGAAGGUGAACUAUGCCUGUAUAGGGUGAAGCCAGAGGAAACUCUGGUGGAAGCUCGCAGCGGUUCUGACGUGCGAAUCGAUCGUCAAA
This 768-nucleotide ribosomal RNA is filed under the name Cordyceps cf. ochraceostromata ARSEF 5691. RNAcentral describes it as "LSU rRNA". It matches the Rfam family "Eukaryotic large subunit ribosomal RNA", at positions 109 to 909 of the family's 3401-position model. Lineage: Eukaryota; Fungi; Ascomycota; Sordariomycetes; Hypocreales; Cordycipitaceae. The record is from RNAcentral.